GCAUAACGCGAAGAACCUUACCAAGGCUUGACAUACACCAGAACACCCGGGAAACAGGGGACUCUUUGGACACUGGUGAACAGGUGGUGCAUGGUUGUCGUCAGCUCGUGUCGUGAGAUGUUGGGUUAAGUCCCGCAACGAGCGCAACCCUCGUUCUAUGUUGCCAGCACGUUAUGGUGGGAACUCAUGGGAUACUGCCGGGGUCAACUCGGAGGAAGGUGGGGAUGACGUCAAAUCAUCAUGCCCCUUAUGUCUUGGGCUUCACGCAUGCUACAAUGGCCGGUACAAAGGGCUGCAAUACCGUGAGGUGGAGCGAAUCCCAAAAAGCCGGUCCCAGUUCGGAUUGAGGUCUGCAACUCGACCUCAUGAAGUUGGAAUUGCUAGUAAUGGCGCGUCAGCAAUAGCGCCGUGAAUACGUUCACGGGUCUUGUACACACCG
This 439-nucleotide ribosomal RNA is filed under the name uncultured bacterium. RNAcentral describes it as "bacterial SSU rRNA". It matches the Rfam family "Bacterial small subunit ribosomal RNA", at positions 954 to 1392 of the family's 1533-position model. The record is from RNAcentral.